UUUCUCGGUAAGUUGAGAUCAACUUAUGGAAAGGCCAAUUUUUGCGGCCAACUUGGUGACAGGUUGCAGCAGUAGAUUGUCGACAAGUUGCGUGCCAACUUGGCUAUCAGGGGAAGUGUUCCUGAUAUUUAAAAAAUAAAAAAAAAAAAGUUUAGUUUUUUCCUAACCUGAGAUUUUAAGGAGUAAGUUCUCUUUAAAAAUUAAAAGUUAAAUGCAUAGAAUUAUUAAAAAUAUAAUGAUAAAAUAAAAAAUGUUUAUAAAAACAAAGAUAAAAGUUUCGGAUACACACCGGGGUUUAACUAAAUUGUCGCGAUGCGAUGCAAAUGAUUCAGUAACAGCUUCCCCUCCUGGGCAUCCACUCUUCCGGCGUAUUAACAAUGUUGGCGGUGGUUUAACUCAAAAUCACUAUACAUAUUUUAACACGGGCGUAACCGCAAGAAAAUUGCCUAUUACGUAUACAUAUAAAACGAUAUGUAUAUAACUUUAUAUUCAUCACGAACAAGGGUAUAAAAUCAUCAGCUAAACACCAGCUAUGCGGCAUAAGAGAAACGAAGGGCAUCUACAUGGUUCUAUAUAACAAGUGUUGUAAAGAGGGUAGCCUCCGGCAAAAGCUGAACGUUGCAGAGGCAUAUUCGAUAGAUAAAUCAAAAGACGUGGAACGAGUCGAGUUGUCGUUUCAAGAGAUAGUCUGCACAGCUUUACGUACUCCGGCACAAGAGCCCGCAGGAAGCGUGUGCUUUGCUAACGAUGACAAACGACGGCCACUUCGCCGUGCAAGGCGGAGACGAUAUUUAUGCUAAUCCAGUCUCUCUCGCGCGACAACCGACAAGAAGAAGAAGAGAAUGAGAGAGCACGAGAAAACCGACUCAUAUAAGUUUACUUAGAGCCAAUAGAAGCGAAAGUAAGAGCCCGCAAAACGGCACGAAGAAGAUGGAGAAUGGUCAGAAAUUAAUAUCUGCUUUGGACGUAAUCGGAUUGGCGGUGAUUUAACGGUUCGUGAGAGAACUGUCGUCGGAGUAUAUAAGACUUUUUAUUUGUGAUUUCCUUUUCUUGCACCGAAAGGUCUUGUGACGGUCUAUGGUUGGAUGAAGAACGACGACGAGACCUUACGUCGUCACUUGGCAGCACCGUGGACAACAGCUCCACCAGUACUUCUUUUGACAGCUGGUAUUGAAUGAACUUGCGGCUGCUGUUGCUCAACAAUUGCGUCACUCUCUUUGUCCUGAUGUGCCGUCAUAUGUCUUGUAAGAUGAUGUCUCUCACGGAAACUUUCAUCGCACACCGGGCAUCUGAGUUUAUCUUCACGCCGUCGUCGUGCUGCCUCACCAACACUUUCAUUCUUGUGAUGGGAUCUCAUGUGAUAAACGAGAUCUGAAGUCAUGCGGAACGACAAAUUGCACUUGGCACAUACAUUUUGCGCCGGUAGACUGAGCGCAAAUGACGGUGGCAGUAACCCAGCAACACCUGUCACUCCAGAGACACCGAGAAAGUGCCGUGGUCGUACUAGUGCUUCAGACAUCGGCGCGGGAAACACAGAAAUUGUCUUUCAGGUCAAAGCGACCCCCUUGGAAUCAUUUGUGGAUAGACAAGCAGGGGGUGAAAAACGCAUGGUAUAUAUAUACACGGCAUGCGGCUACGUCGGACAUAUGGUCGCUGGUCCCCAGUGAUCCAAGCCAGAGUCCUCAUGAGUUUUCAAUGAGAUUAACGGGCCAUCUGUGCAAUCCCGGGUGAUUAACAAAAGCUAAAAUAAACCCGGAGUAAAUACAUCACAUAUAUGGAGUUGAAGGGGAGUAAAGUCGAUCAUCAUUGAUUGUAUAUGCGUCCAUAUAUCUACUCUCUGUUAGGGCUAUUGGUGUGUAUAUAGUUUAGACCCAUAUGGAGUCUGCCGUCCGCGCAUAUGCCACGACAACACCACUAACGAGGAGACUAUGACCGAGAUCUCAGCCUCAAACUGUAUCACAAAUUCGAUGAAUAUUUUUAGCAAUUAUUUUUUUUUUAUUUAAUUCAUGACUGCAUGUAGAGAAAAGUCUGCGGACAGCUGGCAAUUUUAUUUAAUCUACUGCUAUAUUUAUAUUAUUUAUAUGUAUAUGUAUAACUGUAUAAUACAUCAUCGAUUCACUUGAUAUUAUCAGGCUGUCCCCAGAAUUAAUCUUGUUUGUUAAAUCCACCAUUUAAUCGCAACAUUUUCCCUAAAUCCUCGCAACAGAUUUUGGGAUAAUAUUAAUUUACAUUUAUUUUAAUUAAUGAUUUUUAACCACAAAAUAUCAAAGCUGUACCACUAUGAUGAAUAUAUCAUAGAAAAGAAUAAAUAAUAAGAAACAAAAUUAAAUGUUAAUAUAAGUAAAAGAGUAAGUGAACAUGGGUAUAAAAAAAUAAUAAAUAAAAAUGAGAGGGUGAGACACGGGUUGAGCUAGUGCGUAGCCUUUGUCGUAGCAGUGUUCAUUGUAUAUGACAGGGGUAUAGGUACCCUUAUAUCCACUAUACUACUACUGUGGUGCACUUCGCCCCAGCUUCUCGUGCAUCUGUCCUCAAUC
Molecule: long non-coding RNA, 2534 nt
Organism: Microplitis mediator
Lineage: Eukaryota; Metazoa; Arthropoda; Insecta; Hymenoptera; Braconidae
Exons: 8
Source: RefSeq, a predicted model, not a curated record